This is a non-coding RNA of Chrysemys picta bellii (western painted turtle), 343 nucleotides long. Lineage: Eukaryota; Metazoa; Chordata; Testudines; Emydidae. The record is from RefSeq and is a predicted model, not a curated record.
GUCAGACUUCGGUUUGAAAAGUCACUUCUCUCCGAACUUUCAUAUCCAGGUAUCCUCUUCGUUUUUGGAAAGGUUGUCAGUGCUCGGAUGACUCCUUCUGUAAAAAGCAGAGAGGAUCACAGAUUACUUUGGGAAACGAAACAGAAGUAAUCUCUUACAAAGACACCCUAUAUACACAAGGACUCUGCAACAAAGGAUUCGGCCAUUAUAAAUUCAAGCUGGCAACCAGACUCGGUCUUUGAGCUCCCAGUUUUCACGAAUGGUGAGAAGGCAAUUACCACACAGCACCUCAGAGCCCUUUAAUACAGCAACUAAGUGGAUAUAAAACAUCACUUACUCCAGG